UACGAGGGAGGCUAGCGUUGUCGGAAUUACUGGGCGUAAAGCGCGCGCAGGCGGUCUUCCAAGUCAGUGGUGAAAGCCCGGAGCUCAACUCCGGAACUGCCAUUGAAACUGUGAGACUUGAGGAUGAGAGAGGUGAGUGGAAUUCCCAGUGUAGAGGUGAAAUUCGUAGAUAUUGGGAAGAACACCGGUGGCGAAGGCGGCUCACUGGCUCAUUUCUGACGCUCAGGCGCGACAGCGUGGGGAUCAAACAGG
This 252-nucleotide ribosomal RNA is filed under the name uncultured bacterium. RNAcentral's name for it is "partial 16S ribosomal RNA". It matches the Rfam family "Bacterial small subunit ribosomal RNA", at positions 524 to 776 of the family's 1533-position model. The record is from RNAcentral.